UAUAAGGAUGAGGUGCUGCUACGAGCAGGUUAAAACCUCAUGGAAAAAUCUCAUCCUUACAAACCCUAAGAAACUUUACAAAUAUCACGGAGCAGUACUGACUAGAAAUGGCAAGACCAGCAGUUGAAGUGGUCAGAGACAUGUAUGGUGCAGGUGAACCAAUGACAAAAGCACAUAGAGAAAGAAUGCUGAACGAAAACCCAGAUGUUCUUUUCAGAAUUUAUCGUCGAGGUUUUCUGCAUGUCCUGCUCUUUCGACCCAAGACUGACUACUGGUGGAUCAGACUACUUAAAGAAGAAUAUACUUAAAUCUCUUCUCAGUGGACUUUCAAACACGCUAUUAAACGGCCCAUUCGGCAUGUGAUGAAUCUCUCUGGUAAUAUGAACGAAUUAGAAAGAUUCUGUGAAAACUUUGAGAACAAUCUGGUGAAGGCUAAUAACCCCUAUGAUGAAAUUGAAGAACUUCAACAAAGGAUACAGGAACUUGUUCUAGAAAACAGACAACUUCGACAACAGAGAUAGAAAGAAACCUAUGAAGACCUGAAGACAUACAGGAGUUGGAUGCAUUUCAAGCUAGCCAAUUAUGAAUUACCUGUGUUUUUCUUCUCUGUACAUUAAAACUUUGUGUCUUCAAUUAAACUGACUCAAGUUUAAUCAUAAGUCCUGUUUGUUGAGAAUUAAUAAACCAAAUGCAAGCUGA
This is a long non-coding RNA of Danio aesculapii, 699 nucleotides long. RefSeq lists it as uncharacterized. The record is from RefSeq and is a predicted model, not a curated record. The transcript is spliced from 2 exons. NCBI's taxonomy places the organism in Eukaryota, Metazoa, Chordata, Actinopteri, Cypriniformes, Danionidae.